This 373-nucleotide ribosomal RNA is filed under the name uncultured organism. RNAcentral describes it as "partial 16S ribosomal RNA". It matches the Rfam family "Bacterial small subunit ribosomal RNA", at positions 527 to 896 of the family's 1533-position model. The record is from RNAcentral.
GUAGGUGGCAAGCGUUGUCCGGAAUUAUUGGGCGUAAAGUGCGCGCAGGCGGUUCUUUAAGUCUGAUGUGAAAGCCCACGGCUCAACCGUGGAGGGUCAUUGGAAACUGGAGAACUUGAGUACAGAAGAGGAAAGCGGAAUUCCACGUGUAGCGGUGAAAUGCGUAGAGAUGUGGAGGAACACCAGUGGCGAAGGCGGCUUUCUGGUCUGUAACUGACGCUGAGGCGCGAAAGCGUGGGGAGCAAACAGGAUUAGAUACCCUGGUAGUCCACGCCGUAAACGAUGAGUGCUAAGUGUUAGGGGGGUUUCCGCCCCCCUUAGUGCUGCGGCUAACGCAUUAAGCACUCCGCCUGGGGAUACGGCCGCAAGGCUG